RNAcentral lists this long non-coding RNA (3759 nucleotides) under Limulus polyphemus (Atlantic horseshoe crab). Its description in RNAcentral is "uncharacterized LOC106476271". Lineage: Eukaryota; Metazoa; Arthropoda; Merostomata; Xiphosura; Limulidae. The record is from RNAcentral.
UAAAUUGUUUUAUUAUAUCGGAAAUCUAACUAAGUUUAGCCCUUGAGUACCAUAGUUCAAACUAUAGAUUAUUCAAUUGGUCCGUUAUUAUUAUUAUUUUAUAUUAGACAGUAUUCGAAUCUUAUUGGUUAUGAUCAAACUUACGAGAAGGGGGAUUAUAUCAUUAUCGGAAGAAAAAAUAACGUAUUUAGUUUUAGCAUUUCCCUUGUUAAACUAGCCUUUAAUUAUUUCAGAAAUUACAACAUAUUUAUUUCUAAAAUUGGUUGAUUAUUCAGAAUGACGAUGUUUUCAAACACCCUAACUUAAAAAAAAAGGAAGCCAGAUUGCUCCCGAAUAAUGUAUUACACUUGAAUAAUUUCAUUUUGAUAAAACUGAACCAUCCACACAAGAAGACAUCUGAAGAGGCUCAAACCAUGAAAGGAGAGUGAAUUGUAGUAUAUGUGUCUUUCUUACAAGAUUGAACCAAUUGCUAAAACUUUUAAUGUUCCAAAAAUUAGGUCUAGUCACAUGUUUCAUAAAUAUAUGUGUACAAAAUCUUUGCCCCCAGUGGUACAGCGCUAAGUCUGCGGAUUUAAAACGCUAGAAACUGGGUUUCGCUACCAGUGGUGGGCACAGCACAGAUUGCCCAUUGUGUAGCUUUGUGCUUAACUACAAACAAACAAAACAAAAUAUUUAAGAUUGUAAAAGAUAUCGGAAACUUCUGAAAAGAUGGUCAAUCUAAAUUUACCACAAAACCUUUAAUCAACAUCAGUAACUUUACUGUUUAGUUCAAAAUCUACGAUAUAUAUAUGUACUUUUUACAAAUUACAAAGUCGAUUGUUAAUGUUCAGGCCAGACUCCAGCUCACGUCCCAUGGUAGUGAAGUUUGUGUUGACUUUUCUUAGCAAAUUAAAUAGAUCAUACGAUUCUUUAUACUUUGGUAGACCAGACAGAAGUUUUGGGGGUGAACGGCCCAUCCUAGCACCCCCUAGCGUGAGCCCUGUUAAAAAAAAAAGAGCUAUUAAAUAUAUUGUUUACUUGACUCUUCCCGCCAAAAUUCCCAAAUGUUAGCAUUAUAUUGAUCGUUCACUUCCGAAUCGACAAGAUUAACUAAUUAAAUGUUUAAGUCUGAUUUAACUUCAUUUUUCGUUGCAGUGAGUUUCGGUGUGAUAUUGUUUCCGUUUCUCAAGUGACACUGUUAUUCAGUGGUGUACAUAGCAUUUCAACAAAAUCCCCCCUCCCUUUUAUUUUGAACAACUUACAUGAGAAACAAAACACUAAUAAUUAUGUCCUCAAGGGAUAAUAAGGUCUUAACAAAUAUAAAAUCAUGCUUCUAGUUGGGAAAAAAAAAAUUGAUAAAUACUUUGGUUACAGACGAUAUUCCUUGGAGUUGCGCAGAAAAAAAGUAAGUUCCGAUAUAUUAAAUUUACGAAUUACGGUAAACCGAAAUUAUUACAAAAUGACAAACUAUCAAUUCUAAAAUAUUGUUUGAAUAUGGUCAUGAUUAUUAAAGUUUGAAAGUUAAACUUGUAAGUAGGUAGGCAUUAGAUACCUUACACGGGGUUAUUGGCAAAAUUAAACAGGAUCCUUUAACUCCCAGUAUAGCGGGAGAUAUGCCACUGCUCUAUUCCAAAAAAAGAAAAUUGGUUCUAGGACGAAAGCCAUUAUUAGAAGUAUUACGUAAUGAAUUUUAAAAUAAAAUAAAAAUAUUGUUUACUGUGAGGUGAAACUACUGAACCCUUGUUGUGCAACAGUUUCCUGGAAAUUUAAGUUUCAAAAACCGGAUGUCUCAUCAUUUGGCGUUAUGCCAGACUGUGGGUAUUUGUUUUGAUUUUCCAGUAUUUAAAUUGUAAGAAUCAUCUCAACAACUUUAAGGCAGUUUUUGAUAACACAUAAACGCUGUGUCCUGAAAAUGUUUGACUCCAGAACUUGACACGUAUGAAACAAAUUGUAUACAUAGCGUGUCUUAACAAAUCAAAAUGACAUUUAUUCCUCUGUUCUCAUAAUUUUUAAAACUUCAUUCUUUCACGAAUGCGUACGCGCCAUCUACUGGUUAUUAUGAAUAUAUACAGUGUUGUCAAAUUUGCAACAGGAAAUUAGCGAUCCGGACUGAAAAUAAACCCAACCUUCCCCCCUCAUGCUUUCUUUUCGCUCGUGUCAUUUUGAAUUAAUAAAUCAUUCUAAUGUUUGUAAGAUAAUAACAGAACAAACCGUGACACAAAAGUAGUUACUGAGCGAUGUUUAAAAAUUACACAUUUAAAAUCUGCAAUUUACUAUUAUGUUUCAAUGAAAUUUUAGGCAGAAGAGUUUCAGGACUUAAUCAACAGUAGCCGGCUGUUGAAAUAAAAAAAGGAGACUACGUUUCUUCUACAAAAGAAAGAGGCCUCAAUAUAGAAGCCGAAACGUCGCUUUUCUUUCAACAGGCAGUUGUUGUCCAUUAGUUCUUAAACCACCUACAAUUGUAUUUCAAGUCAGAAACCUCUGAAAAUUAAUUACUUCAGCAAAAAGUUUGUUUUAUUACAUCUUACUUUUAAGUGAAUCAGCUACUUGAUCGUUUCAAGUUUGUGUGAUGGAUGUAGGUAAAUUUACGUCUCAAGUUUGUGUGAUGGAUGUAGGUAAACUUACUUCUCAAGUUUGUGUGGUGGAUGUAAGUAAACUUACGUCUCAAGUUUGUGUGGUGGAUGUAGGUAAAUUUACGUCUCAAGUUUGUGUGGUGGAUGUAGGUAAACUUACGUCUCAAGUUUGUGUGAUGGAUGUAGGUAAACUUGCGAGUUUACAAACGGUGAAUAUCCCCAUGAAAUAUAAAUGACCAAAUCAACUAGAUUUCCACUUAGUUAGUCUUAGUUUGAAAAUGAAGAGUGCUCGUUGCCUGGUGUAAACUCAAUAAGUAUUAUGCAAAGCAAUGGAAUGAGUUUAAUCGGGAUUAUGCAGUUAGAAUGUUUUUAAGUUUUGCAUAGCUGCAUAAUUAAUAUUUAACUGGCCUCGUGCACUUUGAUUAUUUUUUCAGUUUUCAUGAUAAGCGAUCAAAACCAAAAACAAACCCAAAACUAUUAUAGCGUCAAAAUAUAGUUAAAGUGACUGCACGAAUAGACAAGUACAGUUCUGCCGUUUUUAAGUGGAACUGGCAACUCUGAAAAUAGUAUUAAAUUACGUUUUAAAAUUAAAACUAUGCGGUCGUUUACUUCCAGUUAACAAUUUACUUUUAAUAGUGAGGAAACAAUUUGGCAUUCAGCAAAAUUAUCCAGCUUGCAAUGAAAUAUCUUCAAUUUUCAGAAAAAUGUUUCCAUUUAUUUUUCCAACACGUCUAUUGUUUCACUUUAUUAAUUAAUUUUCUGUGUUGCAUAUAGUAAAUAAGCUCAAAGGGAAAUCACAUUUAGUAAUUGAGUUAAUUAAAAUUUGGAUUUUCAUGCUUAUGCUUUUUUUUUUUUUAUAUACAUUUGAUGUUUAUUUACUGGGUAGUUAGCAAUCGACAGCGAUAUCGAAGUGUGUUUUCUGAAUAGUUGUUUUAGGGUUAAGACAGUAAGUGUGACGUAAAAUGUAGACAAAAACUUCCCCAUUUCGUGAUGAGAAGUUGAGUUUAAAUUUAUGUCGUUAAAUAAUAUAACUCAAUUUUAAAAAGCAGAAUGGAUUUCAAAUUCUUUUUAUGAUUGGAAAACUUAUUGUAUUUUUAAAAAUAUUAUAUGCAUUUGUUGUUUUUGGGGAACAUGAUGGAGAGAAGACUACGAAGUGUUGUUUGUGCAACUUCGCCAAACUAAACAAUAAUAAACUGUAUAGUGUACA